GGGCCCGCACAAGCGGUGGAGCAUGUGGUUUAAUUCGACGCAACGCGCAGAACCUUACCAGGGUUUGACAUCCUGUGCUCGCCGGUGAAAGCCGGUUUCCCCGCAAGGGGCGCAGAGACAGGUGCUGCAUGGCUGUCGUCAGCUCGUGUCGUGAGAUGUUGGGUUAAGUCCCGCAACGAGCGCAACCCUCGCCUUUAGUUGCCAUCAUUCAGUUGGGCACUCUAGAGGGACCGCCGGCGGCAAGCCGGAGGAAGGUGGGGAUGACGUCAAGUCCUCAUGGCCCUUACACCCUGGGCUACACACGUGCUACAAUGGCGGUGACAGUGGGCAGCGAGCUCGCGAGAGUCAGCUAAUCCCAAAAAGCCGCCCCAGUUCAGAUUGCACUCUGCAACUCGGGUGCAUGAAGGUGGAAUCGCUAGUAAUCGCAGAACAGCAGGCUGCGGUGAAUACGUUCCCGGGCCUU
Molecule: ribosomal RNA, 463 nt
Filed under: uncultured bacterium
Lineage: Bacteria
Description: bacterial SSU rRNA
Rfam family: Bacterial small subunit ribosomal RNA
Source: RNAcentral